RNAcentral lists this unclassified non-coding RNA (208 nucleotides) under Glomeraceae sp. RNAcentral's name for it is "partial contains 5.8S ribosomal RNA and internal transcribed spacer 2". The stretch from base 1 to 71 matches the Rfam family "5.8S ribosomal RNA", at positions 84 to 154 of the family's 154-position model. Lineage: Eukaryota; Fungi; Glomeromycota; Glomeromycetes; Glomerales; Glomeraceae. The record is from RNAcentral.
GUGAAUCAUCGAAUCUUUGAACGCAAAUUGCACUUUCUGGUAUUCCGGAAAGUACGCCUGUUUGAGGGUCAGUUAAAUAAAAAUCGGGGUUGUUGCUUCUUUUCGUUGUUACGCGUCGGAAUUGAGUUGUCUUACCUUCGGUUAAGUGACUUAAAAUUUUUCAUGAUUUUCUAACGUCGUUAUCUUUCUUACGUACGUUUGAUAUCUC